GACGAACGCUGGCGGCGUGCUUAACACAUGCAAGUCGAACGGAAAGGCCCUGCUUUUGUGGGGGGCUCGAGGGGCGAACGGGUGAGUAACACGUGAGGAACCUGCCCUUGACUGUGGGAUAACUUCAGGAAACUGGGGCUAAUACCGGAUAGGAGCUCCUGCUGCAUGGUGGGGGUUGGAAAGUUUCGGCGGUUGGGGAUGGACUCGCGGCUUAUCAGCUUGUUGGUGGGGUAGUGGCUUACCAAGGCUUUGACGGGUAGCCGGCCUGAGAGGGUGACCGGCCACAUUGGGACUGAGAUACGGCCCAGACUCCUACGGGAGGCAGCAGUGGGGAAUAUUGCACAAUGGGCGGAAGCCUGAUGCAGCAACGCCGCGUGCGGGAUGACGGCCUUCGGGUUGUAAACCGCUUUCGCCUGUGACGAAGCGUGAGUGACGGUAAUGGGUAAAGAAGCACCGGCUAACUACGUG
Molecule: ribosomal RNA, 468 nt
Filed under: uncultured bacterium
Lineage: Bacteria
Description: partial 16S ribosomal RNA
Rfam family: Bacterial small subunit ribosomal RNA
Source: RNAcentral